This 65-nucleotide transfer RNA is filed under the name Cephalopachus bancanus (Horsfield's tarsier). RNAcentral describes it as "tRNA-Val". It matches the Rfam family "tRNA". Rfam says of the family: Transfer RNA (tRNA) molecules are approximately 80 nucleotides in length. Their secondary structure includes four short double-helical elements and three loops (D, anti-codon, and T loops). The record is from RNAcentral. Lineage: Eukaryota; Metazoa; Chordata; Mammalia; Primates; Tarsiidae.
CAAAGUGUAGCUUAAUCCAAAGCAACCGGCUUACACCCGGAAGAUUUCAUAAAUGACCACUUUGA